Molecule: long non-coding RNA, 1283 nt
Filed under: Anser brachyrhynchus (Pink-footed goose)
Lineage: Eukaryota; Metazoa; Chordata; Aves; Anseriformes; Anatidae
Description: lncRNA (ENSABRG00000010356.1)
Source: RNAcentral
CUGGUUUUCCUCUUCAAUCUACAUAUCGUAAUCGAGAAACCUUCUCUUUGGCUUCUCAUACCUUCAGCUGUUGGACAGGAAUGGCAGAGCUUCAACUCUGCUCUUCACAAAGAUUUGCCCCUUUUAAAAGAAAGGGAAAGGGAAACCUCUGCAGAAGAAGGUGUGUGAUGCUGCUUAGGCUCUGAAAUGAGCAGAAAGCUGCUGUACAGAGGAAAGUGGAAACAAGCCUUUUGUCAAAGUGCAUUUCUGAGUGUAAAUGUAAACCUGAGCAGCUUUCCCAGCCUCUGUGUAGUACUACGUUAAGGGCUUCUGUUUCAGACUGGUAGAAGGGCUGAUCUCCUGUAGUUGUCAUAUAGUUGUUAUCAUAGAAUCCUAGAAUCAUUAAGGAAAAGACCUCCAAGAUCAUCCGGUCCAACCGUCACCGUACUACCAAUGUCACCCACUAAACCAUGUCCCUAAGCACCACAUCCAACCUUCCCUUGAACACCCCCAGGGACGGUGACUCCACUGCUUCCCUGGGCAAGCCGUUCCAAUGCCUGACCACUCUUUCUGAGAAGAAAUUUCUCCUAAUUUCCAACCUGAAAUUGUGUUCCUUAUAAAUCUGUUGCAUUUCCAGUAUCUCAUGAAAUAACUAUUUUGAUAAUGUCACUGAAACUGGGUCACUGAAGAGACCUGCCAGGGAAAACGGCUUGAGCAGGCCUUUUAUUUCCUCGUACGCUAUGUGAUGCAGUGUCAAAGGGUGAACUUGCUCCCCAGUUUUGACCACGAUCAAUUUGUGCACUGCUGUAUAAAGAUGUUUACCUCUCCUUGUAAUUCUUUCUAUAUACAAAGUUAAAUGCUUCCUCUAAUUAAGCUUCUGUUAUCGUUCAAAAGCUGGGGUCUAAUUUUUUUUUUUCCUUCUCGGGAAUGGAGUGGAUGCCCAGGUCUGAGAGCUGUGGUCAGACCAGUCUCGUAGGACAGGAUCCAACAGAAUCGGACAAACCAAAGGGUCCUUCCAGCCCUGUGUUCCUGAAACACAUAAUCAUUAAAUUGGUCCACCAGGAGCAAAGCGAAGGAUGAGCCCGGAGCAAUAUGUGCCUGUGCAGAGGAUCAGACAAAUGAACAGCAAUAAGCAUUAAUAGAGAAAUUGUUAAUAUCAAUACGCUACUUUCCUGGGGAGAGUGUUGAUGGGAUCUAAAGCCAGGCAAAAUGAUACAUGAAUGUUUAGUCUCAGGUGGCAUCUUUUGCAGAUAAAUUUGGAUUAAGCUGCAAUAAAUUCAUGGUCCUGCCUGUUAAAGCUGUCA